Molecule: unclassified non-coding RNA, 150 nt
Filed under: uncultured Fusarium
Lineage: Eukaryota; Fungi; Ascomycota; Sordariomycetes; Hypocreales; Nectriaceae
Description: sequence contains ITS1
Source: RNAcentral
CCGAGUUUACAACUCCCAAACCCCUGUGAACAUACCUUAUUGUUGCCUCGGCGGAUCAGCCCGCUCCCCGUAAAACGGGACGGCCCGCCAGAGGAACCCAAACUCUAUUGUAUUUAGUGUAUCUUCUGAGUAACACAAACAAAUAAAUCA